Molecule: ribosomal RNA, 434 nt
Filed under: uncultured Lachnospiraceae bacterium
Lineage: Bacteria; Bacillati; Bacillota; Clostridia; Lachnospirales; Lachnospiraceae
Description: bacterial SSU rRNA
Rfam family: Bacterial small subunit ribosomal RNA
Source: RNAcentral
ACGGGAGGCAGCAGUGGGGAAUAUUGGACAAUGGGGGAAACCCUGAUCCAGCGACGCCGCGUGAGUGAAGAAGUAUUUCGGUAUGUAAAGCUCUAUCAGCAAGGAAGAAAAUGACGGUACUUGACUAAGAAGCUCCGGCUAAAUACGUGCCAGCAGCCGCGGUAAUACGUAUGGAGCAAGCGUUAUCCGGAUUUACUGGGUGUAAAGGGAGCGUAGACGGCGAAGCAAGUCUGAAGUGAAAUGCCGGGGCUUAACCCCGGAACUGCUUUGGAAACUGUUUUGCUCGAGUGCAGGAGAGGUAAGCGGAAUUCCUAGUGUAGCGGUGAAAUGCGUAGAUAUUAGGAGGAACACCAGUGGCGAAGGCGGCUUACUGGACCACAACUGACGCUGAGACACGAAAGCGUGGGGAGCAAACAGGAUUAGAUACCCUGGUA